UGAGGCAUUGCCUGUAUAAUAUCCUACAAAACAAAUUUAACAAAUGUCAGAAACAAAAGUUGAAUUAAACUUAUAAACAAGAACUUUUCAUAUCAUUGUUAUAUGAAACAAAAAAUAUACAUUUGUUUCUUGAUGCUAGAGUCACAUUUCAAGCUCAUUUAUUGAGACUCAGAACAAGGCCUGCUAAAAAAUGGAACUUCUUCGCAUCAAGUAAUAUCAAACUUUAUCAAAAUAUCACAAGAAUUCUCGGAACACCAAGUAAUGUAGAAAUUAUGCUUCCAGCAGGGAAAAAGAAAUUAUAUAUGAAUCACAUAGGCCAAGCAGCAGAAAUCCAGAAGCUUUGUGUUUUCUAUCAAAAAGCAUGCAAUUAAGUGAUUCAAAUUUUUCCUAGUGGUGAAAGAAAUUCAUCUUAUUCAGAUUCUUUUUACUAAUUAAAUCAUUAAAAUAUAGAAAGUUAAGGUGGUUACCGUGUUGUUUGAAUGCAAAAUGAUUGACUAGCAACACUCUCCAAAAAGAAAAGCUAGAUAUAUUGAUGGAUACAAAGAGGGACAGACAGACAGACAAACAAACAAACUCUUAAAAAAAUGGGUCAGGCCUA
This 598-nucleotide unclassified non-coding RNA is filed under the name Hevea brasiliensis (rubber tree). The record is from RNAcentral. Lineage: Eukaryota; Viridiplantae; Streptophyta; Magnoliopsida; Malpighiales; Euphorbiaceae.